Molecule: long non-coding RNA, 221 nt
Organism: Cygnus olor (mute swan)
Lineage: Eukaryota; Metazoa; Chordata; Aves; Anseriformes; Anatidae
Exons: 3
Source: RefSeq, a predicted model, not a curated record
ACCGACAGUAGAAACAUGGACUGUUUCAGAAGAAAAGAUGUCGGUUUCUGUCCACAGAGAAGAAGAGUACUCAUAUGUCACAGAGCCAGCAGAGCAUGAGAAGACAGUUGAAGAAAGAUUCUUUGAAGCUGUUUACCCAACUGAAGCACGUAAGGAAGUCAAAGAGGAGGAAGAAGAAGAAGAGGUCAUUUCUGCAGAACUGGAGAUCCCUCAUGAUGAAG